AGGCCUUCUUAGAGCAAAUGACUCAAUUGCUCCAUCAAGUCACUGGAGCUAUGCCACCACCAACCCUUUAGGUCACCAGGUGAAUUAUAGAUUAUCAACAAAAAAGGAUUGUGUUAAAGAUAACAGAUGGAAAUGAGAAGGAAGUUCUAUAUGAGAUGAAAGAAGAUGAGUACAGAACUGGUUGAAAAAAAGAGUUAGUCUAUUGGGAUUAUACCGUAGUGACUAUGCAAUGCUCUUGAUGUUUG
RNAcentral lists this unclassified non-coding RNA (245 nucleotides) under Hevea brasiliensis (rubber tree). The record is from RNAcentral. Lineage: Eukaryota; Viridiplantae; Streptophyta; Magnoliopsida; Malpighiales; Euphorbiaceae.